Molecule: non-coding RNA, 95 nt
Organism: Mycena metata
Lineage: Eukaryota; Fungi; Basidiomycota; Agaricomycetes; Agaricales; Mycenaceae
Source: the annotation of a GenBank genome assembly
UCAGAUGUAGUGCAUGGUGCACACCCUCCUACCCUACCCGAGACCUUCUAACCAUAAGUUGGAGGAAAGCCGGGGUUCGAUUCCCCGCGUCUGAC